ACACACAGACUCUGCAGGGGAUAGAAGUUGGCUAUGUUGUUCCAUAAGCAUAUUUUCAACUCAGCACAAUGAAGACCAUUGUCCUAGAUGGCCUGCUGGGGAAAUGGAUUAUGUAAUUAUGAAGAGCUGAGAUUUAACACUUAUGCCAGUAUCUGCUGGCCAGGCUGGAGGGCAGUGGCAAUCAUAGCUCACUGUAGCCUUGAACUCCUGGGCUUAGGUGUUCUCCUGACUCAGUCUUCCAAGUAGCUGGAACUACAGGUGUGUGCCACCAUGCCUGGCUAAUUUUUUAAAUCUUUUGCAGAGAUAGGGUCUUGCUAUGUUGCCCAGACUGGUCUCCAACUCUUGGACUCAGGCCUUACCUGUAUGACCCUACUGGAUAUGAAUGAGAAAGAAUAUAUUGAAAUUGAGAAAAUAAGAUUUACAUUAUGAAAUCAACUCUAAGGAAAGAAGUAGGCAGGAAACCUGUUGAAAGAAAAUGAAAGCAUUAUAUUUCAGCAAUUACUUAAAUCCUGCAAGAAGAUCAUGUUUGAUGGACACUGAAACUGGACAUUGUAGAAGAUGAAUUAUGAGAGUGAUUUAUGAAAGAAAGACAGUGGAGAAUUGCAAUCGAUGGAGACAUUCAAAGAAAAGACUUUGGCACUACAUCAAAAGAGAGUAGAAUAAGUAGUCUUUGCUUAUACAUUUUAAAUGAAAAUAAAUGUUUAUCAUACAUAUUUGCUGUUUUUUAAACUGUAAUUCAAUUACUAAGGCUGAAGGGAAGAAUGGAUGUUGGAUAAAGAACUUUCGAUUCUGUCAUUGUUAGUAUUAUUUGUGUGCGUAUGUGUGUGUGUGUGUGUGUGUGAAUGUUGAGCUUCUCAGCUUCAAUAGUUAGCAGGAAAAAGCACUGAAUCGUGAAGCAUAAACUACAAAUAUAGCAUCUGUAUGAUAUUCUCUUUAAAAAAUGGUAAAAUUCUAGGAAACAGUCUUUGGUGCUUGCUUUUUUAGAAUGAUUGGCAUGGGAUCUGAGUCUUAGUUUCAGCUUUUAUGACUGCUUUUUACUGCAUCAAAUAUUUGACCAGGCAAAGUACAUUUCAAUGAACAGCUUUACUCCCCUUUAAAAGAAUCUGAAAGUCCAGCUAAAACUCCUCAUCAAGUUAGCUGGGAUCAUGGUGUUCAUUUUGGAUGAGGCAAUGUACUAAUUCAUUCAGUCAGCUCGAUUUGACAUUUCUGGGUUAGGGUAUCUUCCUUAAAAGUUACACAAUAAGUUGGAAUUAAAGUGCUCUGCUUGCUUUUGAUAAGACUGAUCAAAAGAGUGAUAGGAGUAAUCACUACUUAGAAUCCUAUUUAAUAAGUAUUUUCCAUUUAUCUAACUCUAAGGAGAAUUUAGGCUAUUUGUCUAGUGAAAUCCAUUUGAUACCAGGAUUUGUUAUGGCCAUUCUACAAUCAGGUGUUCCUAAUGUAAUGAAUGAGAUAAAAAAUAAUUAAGCUAACAUUUAUAUGAUGCUUACUACUUCCAGAAACUGUUAUUAUGCAUUAUUAACUGACUUAAUCCUCCUUACCACUUUAGGGGGUAGAUACUAUUAUUAUUCCUUUUUUUUUCAGAUGACGAAACUAAAGCACAAAGAGAUUAAAGAACUUAUCCAAGGUCAUGCAGCUGGAAAGAAGUGGAUUUGGGAUUGUGAACAUCACAAUUUCACAAACUACAUUUCAUGAUGGGUAGAGCUAGUCAAACGUCUGAAAAUAAAGUUUGGUUUAAAGAUGACCAUCGUCUUGUUAAGAAAUUAUAUAAAUGAGUAUCACUAAAAAGUCUCUCUUUAAACUCACCAAGCACUCUUCACUAUGGACAAGAAAGUGUGAAUAUGGUUAUUUUUUAUUUAAUAUUUUCA
Molecule: long non-coding RNA, 1865 nt
Filed under: Homo sapiens (human)
Lineage: Eukaryota; Metazoa; Chordata; Mammalia; Primates; Hominidae
Description: HSALNT0376656
Source: RNAcentral